AGGGCAUACGGUGGAUGCCUUGGCAUCAGGAGGCGAUGAAGGACGCGCUAACCUGCGAAAAGCUUCGGCGAGGCGGUAAGAGCCAUUGACCCGGAGAUAUCCGAAUGGGGAAACCCACUGGAAGUGAUGUUCCAGUAUCAUGAUGUGAAUACAUAGCAUCAUGAGGCGAACCCGGGGAACUGAAACAUCUCAGUACCCGGAGGAAAAGAAAUCAACCGAGAUUCCGCAAGUAGCGGCGAGCGAACGCGGAGGAGCCUGUGCUGUAUAAUUGAAUUUCAUGUUAGCAGAAGCAUCUGGAAAGUUGCGCCAUAGACAGUGAAAGCCUGGUACGCAAAAACAUGAGAGACAUGACAGCCGACAAGUAAGCCGGGGCACGAGAAACCUUGGCCGAAGAUGGGGGGACCACCCUCCAAGGCUAAAUACUCCCUGAUGACCGAUAGUGCAACAGUACCGUGAGGGAAAGGUGAAAAGAACCCCUGUUAGGGGAGUGAAAUAGAACCUGAAACCGUAUGUCUACAAGCGGUUCGAAAGGACUUAGUUCCUUGAGAGCGUGCCUUUUGCAUAAUGAACCUACGAGUUAAUGUAUGAUGCAAGGUUAAGCCGUAAGGUGUAGCCGUAGGGAAACCGAGUCUGAAUAGGGCGCUUAGUAUCAUGUAUUAGACGCGAAACCAAGUGAUCUAUGCCUGGCCAGGGUGAAGCUUUGGUAACACAAAGUGGAGGCCCGAACCGAUAUGGGUUGAAAACCGUCCGGAUGAGCUGGGUAUAGGGGUGAAAGGCCAAUCAAACUUGGAGAUAGCUCGUUCUCCCCGAAAUAUAUUGAGGUAUAGCCUCAGGUGUUUCUUUUUGGGUGUAGAGCACUGAAUCGGCUAGGGGUCCCACCAGAUUACCAAACCGAAUCAAACUCCGAAGCCCAUUAAGUAGAGCCUGGGAGUCAGACUGCGGGAGAUAAGUUCCGUAGUCGAAAGGGAAAGAGCCCAGACCAUCAGCUAAGGUCCUCAAGUGCGUGCUAAGUGGAAAAGGAUGUGGACUUGCCUGGACAACCAGGAGGUUGGCUUAGAAGCAGCCAUUCCUUUAAAGAAAGCGUAAUAGCUCACUGGUCGAGUGAGUCUGCGCCGAAGAUAUAACGGGGCUCAAGCACGCCACCGAAGCUAUGGACUUCAGCAAUGAAGUGGUAGGGGAGCGUUGUAUAAAGCGCUGAAGGUGAACCCGUAAGGGACACUGGAGUUUAUACAAGUGAUCAUGUAGNCAAGCACGCCACCGAAGCUAUGGACUUCAGCAAUGAAGUGGUAGGGGAGCGUUGUAUAAAGCGCUGAAGGUGAACCCGUAAGGGACACUGGAGUUUAUACAAGUGAUCAUGUAGGUAUGAGUAACGAAAAAAUGGGUGAGAACCCCAUUCGCCGAAAGCCUAAGGUUUCCUGUGCAAUGUCAGUCAGAACAGGGUGAGUCGGCCCCUAAGGCGAGGCCGAGAGGCGUAGUCGACGGGAAGCAGGUAAAAAUUCCUGCACCACAGUGUAACACGAUGCGGGGACGGAGAAAGGUAUCUGGGAGUUCUGUUGGAAUAGGACUUUCAAGGGUGUAGGCUUGGAUGUAGUGAAAAACGCAUCCAGUGAAGGCUAAGGCUCGAUAACGAGAGAAUACAUGUAUUCUCAAGCCAGAAAUCCUCGGCUUCCAAGAAAAGCCGCUAAGGUUAAUUGCACUGUGACCGUACCGCAAACCGACACAGGUAGGUGGGUAGAGAAUACUAAGGCGCACGAGAGAACUCUAGCUAAGGAACUCGGCAAACUGACCCCGUAACUUCGGAAGAAGGGGUGCCUUUGGUAGGUGAUCAUGCUAGCCAUGUGAGCCCAAGAAGGUCGCAGAGUCCAGUCCCAGGCAACUGUUUAUCAAAAACACAGCACUAUGCAAACACGAAAGUGGAAGUAUAUGGUGUGACGCCUGCCCGGUGCUGGAAGGUUAAAAGGAGAGGUUAGCGCAAGCGAAGCUUUGAAUUGAAGCCCCAGUAAACGGCGGCCGUAACUAUAACGGUCCUAAGGUAGCGAAAUUCCUUGUCGGGUAAGUUCCGACCUGCACGAAUGGCGUAAUGAUCUGGGAGCUGUCUCGGCUAGAGACUCGGUGAAAUUGUAGUAGCGGUGAAGAUGCCGCUUAACCGCAGCAAGACGGAAAGACCCCGUGCACCUUUACUAUAACUUGGCAAUGAUAAUCGGUGUAUCAUGUGUAGGAUAGGUGGGAGGCGUAGAAGCUGGGACGCUAGUCUCGGUGGAGCCAACCUUGAAAUACCACCCUUGGUACACUGGCUAUCUAACUCUCUCCCGUAAUCCGGGAGGAGGACAUUGUCUGGUGGGUAGUUUGACUGGGGCGGUCGCCUCCGAAAGAGUAACGGAGGCGCGCGAAGGUUUCCUCAGGACGGUCGGAAAUCGUCCGCAGAGUGUAUUGGCAGAAGGAAGCUUAACUGCGAGACCAACAAGUCGAGCAGGUACGAAAGUAGGUCAAAGUGAUCCGGUGGUCCCGCGUGGAAGGGCCAUCGCUCAACGGAUAAAAGGUACGCCGGGGAUAACAGGCUUAUCUCCCCCAAGAGUUCACAUCGACGGGGAGGUUUGGCACCUCGAUGUCGGCUCAUCGCAUCCUGGGGCUGGAGCAGGUCCCAAGGGUAUGGCUGUUCGCCAUUUAAAGCGGUACGCGAGCUGGGUUCAGAACGUCGUGAGACAGUUCGGUCCCUAUCUGCUGUGGUCGUAGGAUACUUGCGAGGGUCUGUCCCUAGUACGAGAGGACCGGGAUGGACAAACCUCUAGUGCACCAGUUGUCUCGCCAGAGGCACAGCUGGGUAGCUAUGUUUGGAACGGAUAACCGCUGAAAGCAUCUAAGCGGGAAGCCAGCCUCAAGAUUAAGUAUCCCCAUGAGAGUCCAUGUAGACUACGUGGUUGAUAGGCUGGGAGUGUAAUGGUAGUAAUACCUUCAGCUGACCAGUACUAAUAACUCCAUUGAACUUUUU
RNAcentral lists this ribosomal RNA (2989 nucleotides) under Chrysiogenes arsenatis DSM 11915. Its description in RNAcentral is "bacterial LSU rRNA". It matches the Rfam family "Bacterial large subunit ribosomal RNA". Lineage: Bacteria; Pseudomonadati; Chrysiogenota; Chrysiogenia; Chrysiogenales; Chrysiogenaceae. The record is from RNAcentral.